GCCCUCGUUGUCUAAUGGUUAUGACGUCAGACUUCUAAUCUGGAGGUUGCGAGUUCGAGUCUCGCCGGGGGUU
Molecule: transfer RNA, 73 nt
Filed under: Coprinopsis marcescibilis
Lineage: Eukaryota; Fungi; Basidiomycota; Agaricomycetes; Agaricales; Psathyrellaceae
Also listed under: 1 other name
Rfam family: tRNA
About the family: Transfer RNA (tRNA) molecules are approximately 80 nucleotides in length. Their secondary structure includes four short double-helical elements and three loops (D, anti-codon, and T loops). Further hydrogen bonds mediate the characteristic L-shaped molecular structure. tRNAs have two regions of fundamental functional importance: the anti-codon, which is responsible for specific mRNA codon recognition, and the 3' end, to which the tRNAs corresponding amino acid is attached (by aminoacyl-tRNA synthetases). tRNAs cope with the degeneracy of the genetic code in two manners: having more than one tRNA (with a specific anti-codon) for a particular amino acid; and 'wobble' base-pairing, i.e. permitting non-standard base-pairing at the 3rd anti-codon position.
Source: Rfam by way of RNAcentral